RNAcentral lists this long non-coding RNA (347 nucleotides) under Mytilus galloprovincialis (Mediterranean mussel). Lineage: Eukaryota; Metazoa; Mollusca; Bivalvia; Mytilida; Mytilidae. The record is from RNAcentral.
UGCGCGACUGACAUAAAGAUCAUAAAAUAUUUCCAUACACCAAAUAUAGAUGACCUAUGGCAUAUAGUAUUAGAUAAAAAGACCAAAACUCAAAAACUUAACUUUGACCACUGAACCAUGAAAAUGAGGUAAAGGUCACAUGACAUCUGCCCGCUAGAUAGAUACACCUUACAAUAAUUCCAUACAACAAAUAUAGUAGACCUUUUGCAUAUAGUAUGAGAAAAACAGACCAAAACACAAAAAUUUAACUAUAACCACUGAACCAUGAAAAUGAGGUCAAGGUCAGAUGACACCUGCCAGUUGGACAUGUACACCUUACAGUCCUUCCAUACACCGAAUAUACUAGC